CUAAGCCAUAAUCUGUUGCCACAA
RNAcentral lists this non-coding RNA (24 nucleotides) under Rattus norvegicus (Norway rat). Lineage: Eukaryota; Metazoa; Chordata; Mammalia; Rodentia; Muridae. The record is from RNAcentral.